GACGAACGCUGGCGGCGUGCCUAAUACAUGCAAGUUGAGCGCUGAAGGUUGGUACUUGUACCGACUGGAUGAGCAGCGAACGGGUGAGUAACGCGUGGGGAAUCUGCCUUUGAGCGGGGGACAACAUUUGGAAACGAAUGCUAAUACCGCAUAAAAACUUUAAACACAAGUUUUAAGUUUGAAAGAUGCAAUUGCAUCACUCAAAGAUGAUCCCGCGUUGUAUUAGCUAGUUGGUGGGGUAAAGGCUCACCAAGGCGAUGAUACAUAGCCGACCUGAGAGGGUGAUCGGCCACAUUGGGACUGAGACACGGCCCAAACGCCUACGGGAGGCAGCAGUAGGGAAUCUUCGGCAAUGGACGAAAGUCUGACCGAGCAACGCCGCGUGAGUGAAGAAGGGUUUCGGAUCGUAAAACUCGGUUGGUAGAGAAGAACGUUGGUGAGAGUGGAAAGCUCAUCAAGUGACGGUAACUACCCAGAAAGGGACGGCUAACUACGUG
Molecule: ribosomal RNA, 497 nt
Filed under: uncultured bacterium
Lineage: Bacteria
Description: partial 16S ribosomal RNA
Rfam family: Bacterial small subunit ribosomal RNA
Source: RNAcentral